AGCGAACGCUGGCGGUAGGCCUAACACAUGCAAGUCGAACGGCAGCACAGUGAGAGCUUGCUCUUACGGGUGGCCAGUGGCGGACGGGUGAGGAAUAUAUCGGAAUCUACUCUUUCGUGUGGGUUCACGUAGGUGAAGUUACGCUAGUACCGCAUACGCCCUAGGGUUGAAAGCAGGGGAUCGUCGCAGCUUGCGCGGUUGGAUGAGCCGAUGCCGGAUUUGCUAGUUGGCGGGGUAAAGGCCCACGAGGGCGCCGAUUGGUGGCUGGUGUGAGUGGAUGGUCACCGGCACUGGAGCUGGAACACGGUCCUGGGGCCUGCGAGAGGCAGCAGAGUGGAAUAUUGGGCAACGGGCGCAAGCAUGAUCCAGCGAUACCGCGUGGGUGGAGACGGCGUUCGGGUUGUAAAGACCUUUUGUUGGGUAAGAAAAGCAGCAGGUUAAUACCCCGCUGUUCUGACGGUACCCGAAGAAUAAGCACCGGCUAACUUCGUG
Molecule: ribosomal RNA, 492 nt
Filed under: uncultured bacterium
Lineage: Bacteria
Description: partial 16S ribosomal RNA
Rfam family: Bacterial small subunit ribosomal RNA
Source: RNAcentral